Molecule: ribosomal RNA, 1527 nt
Filed under: Flavobacteriales bacterium
Lineage: Bacteria; Pseudomonadati; Bacteroidota; Flavobacteriia; Flavobacteriales
Description: bacterial SSU rRNA
Rfam family: Bacterial small subunit ribosomal RNA
Source: RNAcentral
UUUAUACAACGAAGAGUUUGAUCCUGGCUCAGGAUGAACGCUAGCGGCAGGCCUAACACAUGCAAGUCGAACGGUAACAUAAGAGCUUGCUCUUGAUGACGAGUGGCGCACGGGUGAGUAACGCGUAUGCAAUCUACCUAUAACUGAGGGAUAGCCCAGAGAAAUUUGGAUUAAUACCUCAUAAUAAUAUUUUUUGGCAUCAUUAAAUAUUUAAAACUUCGGUGGUUAUAGAUGAGCAUGCGUUCUAUUAGUUUGUUGGUGAGGUAAAAGCUCACCAAGACUACGAUAGAUAGGGGGCCUGAAAGGGUGAUCCCCCACACUGGUACUGAGACACGGACCAGACUCCUACGGGAGGCAGCAGUGAGGAAUAUUGCACAAUGGAGGAAACUCUGAUGCAGCCAUGCCGCGUGCAGGAUGACGGCCCUAUGGGUUGUAAACUGCUUUUUUACAAGAAGAAACCUUGGUACGUGUACCAACUUGACGGUAUUGUAAGAAUAAGCACCGGCUAACUCCGUGCCAGCAGCCGCGGUAAUACGGAGGGUGCAAGCGUUAUCCGGAUUUAUUAGGUUUAAAGGGUUCGCAGGCGGAAUUUUAAGUCAGUGGUGAAAGCCUACAGCUCAACUGUAGAACUGCCAUUGAAACUGAUAUUCUUGAGUAUAGAUGAAGUGGGCGGAAUAUGUCAUGUAGCGGUGAAAUGCAUAGAUAUGACAUGGAACACCAAUUGCGAAGGCAGCUCACUAAACUAUUACUGACGCUCAUGAACGAAAGCGUGGGGAGCGAACAGGAUUAGAUACCCUGGUAGUCCACGCCGUAAACUAUGAUCACUAGAUGUUGGCGAUAUACUGUCAGUGUUUUAGAGAAAUCGUUAAGUGAUCCACCUGGGGAGUACGUUCGCAAGAAUGAAACUCAAAGGAAUUGACGGGGGCCCGCACAAGCGGAGGAACAUGUGGUUUAAUUCGAUGAUACGCGAGGAACCUUACCAAGGCUUAAAUGUAGAUUGACAGAUUGUGAAAACAGUUUUUCUUCGGACAAUUUACAAGGUGCUGCAUGGUUGUCGUCAGCUCGUGCCGUGAGGGGUCGGGUUAAGUCCCAUAACGAGCGCAACCCCUAUUUUUAGUUGCCAGCGAGUAAUGUCGGGAACUCUAGAAAGACUGCCUGUGUAAACAGUGAGGAAGGUGGGGAUGACGUCAAAUCAUCACGGCCCUUAUGUCUUGGGCUACACACGUGUUACAAUGGUUACUACAGUGGGCUGCCAUCUGGCAACAGAGAGCAAAUCCAUAAAGGUAAUCCCAGUUCGGAUCGGAGUCUGCAACUCGACUCUGUGAAGUUGGAUUCGCUAGUAAUCGUAUAUCAGCAAUGAUACGGUGAAUACGUUCCCGGGCCUUGUACACACCGCCCGUCAAGCCAUGGAAGUUUGUGGUGCCUGAAGUCAGUAACCGUAAGGAUCUGCCUAGGGUAAAACAGAUAACUAGGGCUAAGUCGUAACAAGGUAGCCGUACCGGAAGGUGUGGCUGGAAUAUCUCUUUU